AUCCUGAUGACGAGUUCCAAACAGGACGAAAUGCACAUCUUGGAU
This 45-nucleotide non-coding RNA is filed under the name Trichobilharzia regenti. Lineage: Eukaryota; Metazoa; Platyhelminthes; Trematoda; Strigeidida; Schistosomatidae. The record is from RNAcentral.